RNAcentral lists this ribosomal RNA (274 nucleotides) under uncultured bacterium. RNAcentral's name for it is "partial 16S ribosomal RNA". It matches the Rfam family "Bacterial small subunit ribosomal RNA", at positions 523 to 796 of the family's 1533-position model. The record is from RNAcentral.
AUACGAAAGGUGCAAGCGUUGUUCGGAUUUACUGGGCGUAAAGAGAGUGUAGGUUGUUUAUUAAGUCGGAUGUGAAAUCCCGGGGCUCAACCUCGGAACUGCAUUCGAUACUGGUAGACUAGAGUUCGGGAGGGGUAAGCGGAAUUCCGUGUGUAGCAGUGAAAUGCGUAGAUAUACGGAGGAACACCUGAGGCGAAGGCGGCUUACUGGACCGAUACUGACACUGAGACUCGAAAGCGUGGGUAGCAAACAGGAUUAGAAACCCGGGUAGUCC